Molecule: long non-coding RNA, 727 nt
Filed under: Pan troglodytes (chimpanzee)
Lineage: Eukaryota; Metazoa; Chordata; Mammalia; Primates; Hominidae
Description: lincRNA
Source: RNAcentral
AGCUCAUGGCCCUCCAGACAGAACAAAGGGGUCCCAAAAUGCCUAGCGUGGAAUCACAGAAUGGCCCAGGCUUGAACCAUCUCUAUUCCCAGAGAUAGUCACAGAGAUGCACGCUAUGGGACAGUCUUGGCAGGGUCUUUGAGGAGGAAGUGGAUUCAGCAGGAUGAUGGGGCUGGCAUCGUGGAUGCCAGCAACGUGGAUGCCUGUUGGUGGUGUGCUGAUGCUACACACAUGCAUUCACACAUAUAUGCAGACACAUGUACACACACACAUGCACACACACACUAAAAACACCCACAGACAUGCAUGCUUUUACAUUUAUUUAUGAUAGGUGUGCCCCAGAGAGGAGUAUCUUUUACCAGUUGCUCUGGUUGUUUCUGACUUCUGGAAGAGUCUGGACAGAGAAAUCCCCAGCAUAUCCUGCAUCUCAUUCUUGGUGUGAAGCAGGAACACGCACUCAUUCCUAUUUGGCUAUAGUCUUCACAGCUUUCUACUGUUUCUUUUAAAAGAAGGAAACUAAAAUAAUAUAAUUCAAUGUUGUCCAGUCAGCUUUGAUUACUGUCGGUCCCUGUGUGUGAAGUGCUGUGCUGGCUUGAACGGGACAUGCAAAAAUCAAGAAGGCAAGGUCCAGUCCUUAAAGCCCUAGAGCAAGGGUUGACAAACCACAGUACUUGGGCUAAACCCAGCCCACCACCUGUUUUUGCAAAUAAAGUUUUAUUGGAACACA